Long non-coding RNA from Mustela erminea (ermine), 2422 nucleotides. RefSeq lists it as uncharacterized. The transcript has 3 exons. NCBI's taxonomy places the organism in Eukaryota, Metazoa, Chordata, Mammalia, Carnivora, Mustelidae. The record is from RefSeq and is a predicted model, not a curated record.
CUGAGAUCACGAUCGGAGCCGAAGGCAGAGGUUUAACCCACUGAGCCACCCAGGUUAAAGCCAUUAGUUAAUUAAGCUCUUUGGUUUUUAGGAAGACCCCAGUGUGGUAAGCACCAAGGGUUUAGAGAUCGCAUCUUCCAAUUUGAAAGCGGCAGGGCUCUGGGCACUCCGGGGAGUAGCUGAGCCCGACCCCUUCAUGGGUGAGGGGAAUGGCUGGCUUGGGACCCCUGUGCUCCUGGGGGCACCCUCCUCCCCACCUUCUCCGACCUCCCUCCCACAUGUGGACAAGGCCCGUCUCGCUUCUGACCCAGCUCCACUGGGGACUCUGGCUGCCCUUUGGGUCUUCCAUUCUUUCUGUUUCAGGUCUCUGCUUUCUUGCUAGUUUAGCAAGGCGGCUGAAAAGAUCUCUUUAACAUUGUAUCUAGUAUUGUUAGCCUCUCCAGUGGUAGGGUUUGUUCCAGGAAGCUGGUGCGCAGCAUGCUAGAAAGUGAAAUUCAUCGUUUCUUUGGAAGAGCAGCAAUAAGGAAGUACUACAAGGUUCGCUGCAGUAGACUCUGAUACGGUGCACACCUGUUUUCCUCUUACAGGUGUGUAUAGUAACUAUUGGGCCUUGGGAGAAGGAAGCUCUCUUUAUGGUCGAGGUACCUAAGUACCUGUCUCUUAACAGCAUUAGAACUCAUUUGUUUGUACUUUCACAUCUGGUGUUUUGGGAUACAUUAAAAUUUCUGUCAAAAUGGUGUUUCAAGUUGUCAUUUGUAGUGAUGUCUCACACCUUGGGUUUUUAGGGCUGUUGGUGUCUAUUUUUAGUGUUUUGGGCCUUUGUAAUUCUUUCUCUUGGGUUGUCUCUUGUUUUAUGCCAGCAAAUAUAUUUAUACCCAUUUGGGCUUUUUAAAAGAUGGCAUUUGCUUCCAUGCGAGAGCGUCCCUGCCUGUACCUCGUUGUGUUCUGUGUAGGUGUGGAUUUGGUGGUGGCGAGCAGCUGCCCCUUCCCACUGCUGCCCUUCCCUCUAGCCUCCCACUCUGGUUUCCCAUCAGCCAAGGCUGGAACUCUGUUAGCUUUCAGCCUGCUCUGUCUCUAAUUUACACAACUUUCCAGAAGGGCAGCAUUCUCCCCAUUGUAAGAUAACGACACAGAGGAGCUUGCCGGAUCUGUCUGCGUCGGUCAGGGUCCUCCAAAGAAAUAGGAUGUGUAUAGAUAUGCAUAUAGAACAAAGUUUAUUUAUAAGGCGUUGACUCACAUGAUUAUGGGGGCUGGCAAGUCCCAAGAUCUGCAGGGGGACCUGGCAAGCUGGGGUGGACCUACGAGGGCUGAUGGCAUGAGUUCUAGUGUGAGUCUGGAGGCCUGAGAGUCAGGAGGGCUGAUGGUAUAAGUUCUGGUUUGAAGGCCAGAAGGCUUGAUGCCCUGGGAAUGUCAAAGCUUCAGUUCGAGUCCGAUGGCAGGAAGAAGGCUUGGUGUCCCAGUGGGAAGGUAGUCAGGCUCAGGGAAUUUCCUCUUUCCUGGGGGGAAAAGGUGGGGGAGGAGGGGACCUUCAACUGAUUGGAUGAGGCCCACCCACAUGGGGGCAAGGAGUCUCCUUUAUUCAGUCCACUGAUUUAAAUGUUCAUCUUCUUCCAAAACACCCUCGCUUACACACUGUGAAUAAUGUUUGACUGGAUACCUGGGCUCUCCAUGGCAUGGUGAAGUUGACAUGUGAAAUUCAUCCAUCAUACUCUCCAAACCAAAGAACGGUUUCCAGUCUAGAAUGUUAUUCUUUAGAGUAGAGCCUGGCCUUCAAUCUCCUGGGCGGAUGGAUUGAGUACCUACAAAGCAUUCUGGAGGCUGGAAGUCCGAUAUCAGGGUGUCCACAGGGCCAUACUGCCCUGAAGGUGCCAGGGAUAGAGCACCCUCCAACCAGUCUCCCGCCUUCUGGUUGUUCUUGGCUUCUGGAAGCAGAAACACGGCAGAGCCCUGUGUGUGCACCUGUGUUCAAAUUUCCCAUCUUUGUAAGAACCCCAGUCCUACUGGAUGAGGGACCUGCCCUACUCCUGUGGGACCUCAUUCUAACUACUUAUGUCUGCAGUGACCCUUUUUCCAAAUAAGACCACAUGCUGAGGUCUUCGGGGUUAGGGCUCCAACAUAGGAAUAUUAGGGGGACACAAGUCAACCAUAACAGGUCCUUCAGCUCAUACUGAACAAAGAAAACAUGAACGAAAUUAUCCUGCUCUUACGUUCAAGUGGAUGCAUCAGUCUUUGAAAAAAUUUUCCCAAGACCUGGCUAGUUAUUCCUUCUUGUCACUCUUCUUUGUUCUUGGACCUAGAAGCAUUUAUUUCUAAGCCUCUGAUUCGCUACUUCUAAUCCACUCUCUGGGACAUCAGAUGGCAAAUGCUGUUAGAAAUCUGUGUAAGUAGGGCGCCUGGGUGGCUCAGUGGGUUAAGCCACUGC